UACCACUUUUUUAAACCAGGCGGUUAUCCUGCCUAUUAAAAUGCACCACGCGCAAUAAUUCAAUCAACAGACGCACAAAUAUCGCAAAAUUCGAUUUUAAAAAUCGCGACCGUGCGCAACGGUGGCAAUGACCGGAACGAGCAGACUAGCCGGUUACGUCAUUUUGACGUAAGAAAGGGGCAGCCGCUGGUUGGGUUAGAGAAACGUCGUCUGCUAUUUUUUCUCUGAACCACGCCGUAAGAAGCAGCGUCUGCAGAAGUGUUUCUUUUCGCUUUUUCUUUGAUUUAUCAGGUACAGUAAACGAACAAGGGUGCUGUUGUUCUGUUGUGUAGCGACAAUUAGUACAAAACUGCGCAACACUUCAGCGUACGCUUCAAGAGGAACGCCGCAUCGCCAUAAUCACUAGCUCGCCCGCCUCGAUUAGCAACGUUGUUAUAGUUACUCAGUCAUUCAUCUGGUGGUAUAUUCGUAGAGGCACGUUGUCUGGCACGAUCCACAGCAAUCCUGCAACUUACGAAUUGUUAUCUGUUCACGGCAAUCAGUCGCGAUGCCGCAGGCGUGCGGUGUUCGCGGGUGCGUAAACAGUGUAUGUAAUCGCUCGAAAUAUCGUCGGCACACGGUACCGCGGAAAGAACCUGCACGAAGUACAUGGCUACGACUGAUACAACGUGAUGACGUCCCAUCGAACGCUGCAAUCGUCGUCUGUUUUCUACACUUUCGACCGGACGACUACGAACUCAACGUGUCACUUGUUGAAGGCUCCGGAGUUGGAAAAUUCAAACAUAGACUGAGACCCGAAGUGACGCCGUCGUUGAACCUACCUAAUGCUGCCGCCGCGCAAGAGAACGUGGUACGUAUGUCGCCUGUGACGUGCCUGCAACGGUACAUACUAGAAAUAUAUGUGUCGUGCACCUGCUUAGCACAUUUUAUAAAUUUCAAUCACUUUCCUCAAAUACAGGCAGAACAACGUGUACCAGAAGGUGACAGCCUAAACGGUGACAGUGCAUGUGCCAGCUUAGUCAGUCACGCUUCUUCCUUUGGAAAUGAAGAGAGCGGUUAUUCAUCUCACACCCAACCUGCUUCCCCUGUGCUUACAUCUCAGUCUCCCAGUCCCGACAUGACACCUACAACCGUCCUACAGUGCAUGAACUGUGGGUGCAGGCAGCCCAACAGCGUACCUUUGACUGAAGAAAAAGGGACCCAGUACAGUUUGCCAAGAGAGUCGAAGUGGACCCAAACAACAGUUGUCCAAACUAGGAGAGUCGGCACACAAGCAAAUCAUAAUGCCAAAUCUCUGCAAACAUCGUCAACUCAAACAAGUGAAGACUUCUGUGAACUUGGGCCACAGCACUCAGGCAUUCAAUAAGAACCAAAACGGUGCUCUACACCAGUUAUGAAUGAUGUGACAGAGACCACUAUCGGUGACACUGACAAUCCAGCAGACACCACCUAUGUACCACAACACGACAGCCUUCUUGGUGAUAGCCCUCAAGCCAGCAGUGUCAGUCCCCAGGAGGAGAGAAAAUAUAUAAUAUUCGAAAGCAAGCUGAAAGAACUGUUUCGUUCCUGCACCACAUGCUUGAACCCAUGUACUACAAGCUUCAGCUGUGUUGGUUCCCUCCUCCGAGUUGAGUCCUGCUGCGUAGAUGGUCAUACGUUUGUUUGGGAGAGCCAGCCAUACAUAUCAAAUAAGCCUGCUGGAAACGUCCUGCUGUCUGCAGCAAUUCUGUUUAGCGGAGCAGGUCCCACUCCAA
Ornithodoros turicata is the source of this 1754-nucleotide RNA transcript. RefSeq lists it as uncharacterized. Lineage: Eukaryota; Metazoa; Arthropoda; Arachnida; Ixodida; Argasidae. The record is from RefSeq and is a predicted model, not a curated record. The transcript is spliced from 5 exons.